AGACAAGUGUUAUUCAUCUUUAAUCGGUUUAAAGGGUACCUAGACGGAAAAUCAAGCUAUAGUAGGGACUAAUUUUCUAGAGUUUAAUGAAAGAAAGUCGAAUAUCUGGAGUAAAGAAACAAUAUUUCGAUACCAGAGAGACGGGUAACGGCGUAGGCAACUUUCUAUGUAAAAACUGACGUUGAGGGACGAAGCCCUGGGUAGCGAUAAGGAUUAGAUACCCUAGUAGUCCAGGGAGACAAUGAUGAGUGCCAUAAGCUAGAUAUAUUAGUUUAUAAAUGAAAGUGUAAGCAUUCCACCUCAUGAAUAAGGCGGCAACGCAUAAAUUGAAAUCAUUAGACCGUUUCUGAAACCAGUAGUGAAGUAUGUUAUUUAAUUCGAUGAUCCGCGAAUAACCUUACCACGUUUUGUAUACUAUUUAAUUAUUACAAGUGCUGCACGGCUGUCUUUAGUUAAUGUCGUGAGACUUUGGUAAAUU
This 478-nucleotide ribosomal RNA is filed under the name Normandina acroglypta. Its description in RNAcentral is "SSU rRNA". It matches the Rfam family "Bacterial small subunit ribosomal RNA", at positions 532 to 1085 of the family's 1533-position model. The record is from RNAcentral. Lineage: Eukaryota; Fungi; Ascomycota; Eurotiomycetes; Verrucariales; Verrucariaceae.